UCGUAACACGAACCGGUGCUCAAGGGUCCCACCCACCUGUUACUGACAGGGGCCGUCGGGGCAGGGACCCUUUAGCACCGGUUCGUGUUACAAA
MicroRNA precursor from Sorghum bicolor (sorghum), 94 nucleotides. It matches the Rfam family "MIR5387 microRNA precursor family". The record is from Rfam. Lineage: Eukaryota; Viridiplantae; Streptophyta; Magnoliopsida; Poales; Poaceae.